Molecule: unclassified non-coding RNA, 2098 nt
Filed under: Leishmania donovani
Lineage: Eukaryota; Euglenozoa; Kinetoplastea; Trypanosomatida; Trypanosomatidae
Description: gene:LdHU3.06.1340(CDS-product:Domain_of_unknown_ function_(DUF4379)_putative)
Source: RNAcentral
CCGCUCCGCCGCCGUUGUAUUGCGCUUAUUUGGUGGUCUUCGUGGCAUAGGAGAAGGUGGAAAGGCCGUCGCAGGCAGGUAGACACACAUGUCUCUCAGACAGCUUUCGCUGGCACCUCACGGCGUGCGUCGCGGUCUCUCUUUUGCGCUGUGCACCUCUAUCACACUCGGAUGCACAAUGUCUGUGCGCCACGGCUGUUGUAUCCACCGCCUGUGCGAAGCGCCCGUAGCUCCGUCGAGCACAAAUACCAACUUCGCAGUCGCGUCAGCCGUCGGUGGCGCCGCGUCGCGCUCGACAUCCACGGCAUGCUCCUCACCGCUCUUCUGGUUUGAGCUGGAUCGGCUUCCACCGCAGCUGCAACGCGAGUUUGACGUCGACGCGAACCAACGCGCUCUCCGCCAUCUGUGGCGCCCCACACGCGCGGGCACCGACAGUGAUGGCGCCUCAGCAGUCCCGUUCAACCUGCCCGUGACGCCAUCCAGUGUUCACCCGGUCGUCUGGCGCUGCACCCACUGCCAGUCGCAGUGGUCCGCCCGACCAUCCGACCGCACGAACCCUCAACUCGCUGAUGCGCACCGAUGCCCGCGUUGCUACGGCGGCCAACCUUUACCCGCUGGAUCGCCCGACACCCCAACCUCGCCAGAUGCUGGAGCACAGCCGGGACCGUCCUCUCGGCCGUCCACCGCCGCCACCGGCGUCGGCCUCUUGUGUGACUCCUACCCUUUCCUCGCUGCGCAAUGGGACCCGCUGCGCAACCAACUCCUGCAGAAUCAGGUGCUACAGUCUGUGACGGAGGUGCGCACGUCCUCUGCCUCGAUGGUGUGGUGGCGCUGCCCACUUUGCUUGUCUCCGUGGCUGGAAUCCGUAUCGAGUCGGGUGGCGCGAUACGGUCUCGCCAUGCAGCGUCACUCUGUGCCCUCGAAGCCAAGCCUUUCACGCACGGGCACCACCCCUGGUAACGACCCUAGCAGGCCCGCUGGCGAGCUCGUGCUUCUCUGCCCGUCGUGUGAGCGUCGCGGUGCGAGUUCCAGUGGCGCCAUAAGCCCCGCCAGCCCGCGACGCUGGCUGGCUGAUGACGCCCUGCUCCUCGGCGAAGCGCUCCUGCGUCCACAUCAAGACCCGCAGCGAGUCUCGCUGACAAGCGAAACGAUGCUCCAGUGGCGGUGCCGCAGCUGCCAGUUCGAGUACGCCGCCACGGUAGCGAACCGGUUCCUUCGUCAUGAGCGAUGCCCGCAGUGCUCCGGGAGGACGAAAAGCAUGCACAACCUGCUGGUGGUGCAGCGGCCUGAUGUGGUGAGGGAGGUGAGCAAGCACAUCUCACGUACGCGGCUGCGCUACAUCACCAUCCACGACGACGUCGAGCUCCCCUUUGUGUGUCGCACCUGUUACGCGCCGUACCGCAUGACAGCGCGUGCCCGCUGCGCCGUGCCGCGUGGUGUACCGGCGUGCUCUAAGUGCUUCCUGACGAGCUCACAAGUACUCACCGAGGCUCAGCAUCAGCACCAGCACGGAGGCGCCAAGGCGCUCUCGGCCCGCGCGCGGCGACGGGUGCGGCAGAGGGCACUGCAACUCAGCCGCAGCCACCGCCAUCGGGAGCGACUCGCUGCCACGCUGAAUGAGCUCAGCCACCACGACAACGCCUUGAAGGACUGAACACACGGACACGUGCGUCGCCCUGCGUCUCUGUCUUCACGUAACACGUGGUGGGUGACGAUACAGCGGAAAUUUCCCUAGACCUCAUUGCCGUUGAUGGAUGUAAGCGCGAGGGCGGAGGGCGCAUCGCCGACCAUGUCCGACCUCCACACCGGAAAACGAGGGCAAGACACCCUUCUCCUGUGUGUGUGUGUGUGUGUGUGUGUGUGUGUGUGUGUGUGUGCUUGUGUGCCUCUUGUAAUCUCUCGGACACCAUGAUGAUGCAUGACUGGCGAAGAGCGGCAGGCAGGAACCUCCUGCCCACCCACCCCUGUCUCGCAGCCGCGACAUAUUCGCCUCCCCCAUCUGCGCCUACCCCACUCCCCUCCCGAACUCCUCCUCCUCCUGCCAACCUUCCUCGUCACACCUUCGGCGCGCACACCCCCACCCUUCCACUCGGAUUAG